UGUAAAUGUCCGUUGGAUCCAGUUGAUUGA
RNAcentral lists this non-coding RNA (30 nucleotides) under Mus musculus (house mouse). The record is from RNAcentral. Lineage: Eukaryota; Metazoa; Chordata; Mammalia; Rodentia; Muridae.